UUAGUUGUCUCAAAGAUUAAGCCAUGCAUGUCUAAGUAUAAGCAAUUAUACCGUGAAACUGCGAAUGGCUCAUUAAAUCAGUUAUCGUUUAUUUGAUAGUACCUUACUACUUGGAUAACCGUGGUAAUUCUAGAGCUAAUACAUGCUGAAAACCCCAACUUCGGGAGGGGUGUAUUUAUUAGAUAAAAAACCAACGCCCUUCGGGGCUUCUUGGUGAUUCAUGAUAACUUUACGGAUCGCAUGGCCUUGCGCCGGCGACGGUUCAUUCAAAUUUCUGCCCUAUCAACUUUCGAUGGUAAGGUAUUGGCUUACCAUGGUUUCAACGGGUAACGGGGAAUUAGGGUUCGAUUCCGGAGAGGGAGCCUGAGAAACGGCUACCACAUCCAAGGAAGGCAGCAGGCGCGCAAAUUACCCAAUCCCGACACGGGGAGGUAGUGACAAUAAAUACUGAUACAGGGCUCUUUUGGGUCUUGUAAUUGGAAUGAGUACAACUUAAACCCCUUAACGAGGAACAAUUGGAGGGCAAGUCUGGUGCCAGCAGCCGCGGUAAUUCCAGCUCCAAUAGCGUAUAUUAAAGUUGUUGCAGUUAAAAAGUUCGUAGUUGAAACCUUGGGUCUGGCUGGCAGGUCCGCCUCACGGCGUGUACUUGACCGGCCGGGCCUUCCUUCUGGAGAACCUCAUGCCCUUCACUGGGCGUGUUGGGGACCAGGACUUUUACUUUGAAAAAAUUAGAGUGUUCAAAGCAGGCCUUUGCUCGAAUACGUUAGCAUGGAAUAAUAGAAUAGGACGUGCGGUCCUAUUUUGUUGGUUUCUAGGACCGCCGUAAUGAUUAAUAGGGACAGUCGGGGGCAUCAGUAUUCAAUUGUCAGAGGUGAAAUUCUUGGAUUUAUUGAAGACUAACUACUGCGAAAGCAUUUGCCAAGGAUGUUUUCAUUAAUCAGUGAACGAAAGUUAGGGGAUCGAAGACGAUCAGAUACCGUCGUAGUCUUAACCGUAAACUAUGCCGACUAGGGAUCGGGCGAUGUUCUUUUUCUGACUCGCUCGGCACCUUACGAGAAAAUCAAAGUUUUUGGGUUCUGGGGGGAAUUAUGUCCAAGGCUGAAACUUUAAGA
RNAcentral lists this ribosomal RNA (1112 nucleotides) under Phaeosphaeria eustoma. RNAcentral describes it as "SSU rRNA". It matches the Rfam family "Eukaryotic small subunit ribosomal RNA", at positions 27 to 1150 of the family's 1831-position model. Lineage: Eukaryota; Fungi; Ascomycota; Dothideomycetes; Pleosporales; Phaeosphaeriaceae. The record is from RNAcentral.